AGAGUUUGAUCAUGGCUCAGGAUGAACGCUAGCGGCAGGCCUAAUACAUGCAAGACGAACGGUAAAUAUUUUAGCAAUAAGAUAUGAGAGUGUCGUACGGGUGCGUAACACGUAUGCAACCUACCUGGAACAUGGGGAUAGCUCGGGGAAACCCGGAUUAAUACCCUAUAGUAUUAUUGGAUGGCAUCAUUUGAUAAUUAAAGCGAUAGUGGUUCCAGAUGGGCAUGCGAAUGAUUAGCUAGUUGGUAGUGUAACGGACUACCAAGGCGAUGAUCAUUAGGGGAACUGAGAGGUUGAUCCCCCACACUGGCACUGAGAUACGGGCCAGACUCCUACGGGAGGCAGCAGUAGGGAAUAUUGGUCAAUGGGUGGAAGCCUGAACCAGCCAUGCCGCGUGCAGGAAGACGGCCUUCUGGGUUGUAAACUGCUUUUGCCAGGGGCUAAAGAGCCCAUGCGUGGGAAGUUGAAAGUACCUGGUGAAUAAGCCACGGCUAACUACGUGCCAGCAGCCGCGGUAAUACGUAGGUGGCGAGCGUUGUCCGGAUUUAUUGGGUUUAAAGGGUGCGUAGGCGGCCUAGUAAGUCAGUGCUGAAAUAUCCCGGCUUAACCGGGAGGGUGGCAUUGAUACUGCGAGGCUUGAGUACAGAUGAGGUAGGCGGAAUUGACGGUAGCGGUGAAAUGCAUAGAUAUCGUCAAGAACACCGAUAGCGAAGGCAGCUUACUAAGUUGUAACUGACGCUGAGGCACGAAAGUGUGGGGAUCAAACAGGAUUAGAUACCCUAGUAGUCC
Molecule: ribosomal RNA, 789 nt
Filed under: uncultured bacterium
Lineage: Bacteria
Description: bacterial SSU rRNA
Rfam family: Bacterial small subunit ribosomal RNA
Source: RNAcentral